This 71-nucleotide transfer RNA is filed under the name Alphaproteobacteria bacterium. Its description in RNAcentral is "tRNA-Arg". It matches the Rfam family "tRNA". From Rfam's summary of the family: Transfer RNA (tRNA) molecules are approximately 80 nucleotides in length. Their secondary structure includes four short double-helical elements and three loops (D, anti-codon, and T loops). The record is from RNAcentral. Lineage: Bacteria; Pseudomonadati; Pseudomonadota; Alphaproteobacteria.
GCCCUCGUAGCUCAGCGGAAGAGCGGUGGUCUCCGAAGCCACAGGCGCUGGUUCAACUCCAGUCGAGGGUA